Molecule: ribosomal RNA, 865 nt
Filed under: uncultured bacterium
Lineage: Bacteria
Description: bacterial SSU rRNA
Rfam family: Bacterial small subunit ribosomal RNA
Source: RNAcentral
GAGUUUGAUCCUGGCUCAGAUUGAACGCUGGCGGCAUGCCUUACACAUGCAAGUCGAACGGCAGCACGGGAGCAAUCCUGGUGGCGAGUGGCGAACGGGUGAGUAAUAUAUCGGAACGUGCCCAGUCGUGGGGGAUAACGCAGCGAAAGCUGUGCUAAUACCGCAUACGAUCUAUGGAUGAAAGCGGGGGACUCGCAAGAGCCUCGCGCGAUUGGAGCGGCCGAUAUCAGAUUAGCUAGUUGGCGGGGUAAAGGCCCACCAAGGCGACGAUCUGUAGCUGGUCUGAGAGGACGACCAGCCACACUGGAACUGAGACACGGUCCAGACUCCUACGGGAGGCAGCAGUGGGGAAUUUUGGACAAUGGGCGCAAGCCUGAUCCAGCAAUGCCGCGUGCAGGAUGAAGGCCUUCGGGUUGUAAACUGCUUUUGUACGGAACGAAACGGUCCUUUCUAAUACAAGGGGCUAAUGACGGUACCGUAAGAAUAAGCACCGGCUAACUACGUGCCAGCAGCCGCGGUAAUACGUAGGGUGCGAGCGUUAAUCGGAAUUACUGGGCGUAAAGCGUGCGCAGGCGGUUAUAUAAGACAGAUGUGAAAUCCCCGGGCUCAACCUGGGACCUGCAUUUGUGACUGUAUAGCUAGAGUACGGUAGAGGGGGGAUGGAAUUCCGCGUGUCGCAGUGAAAUGCGUAGAUAUGCGGAGGAACACCGAUGGCGAAAGGCAAUCCCCUGGGACCUGUACUGACGCUCAUGCACGAAAGCGUGGGGAGCAAACAGGAUUAGAUACCCUGGUAGUCCACGCCCUAAACGAUGUCAACUGGUUGUUGGGUCUUCACUGACUCAGUAACGAAGCUAACGCGUGAAGU